Molecule: ribosomal RNA, 508 nt
Filed under: uncultured bacterium
Lineage: Bacteria
Description: partial 16S ribosomal RNA
Rfam family: Bacterial small subunit ribosomal RNA
Source: RNAcentral
GAUGAACGCUAGCUACAGGCUUAACACAUGCAAGUCGAGGGGAAACGAUAGAGAAAGCUUGCUUUUUCUAGGCGUCGACCGGCGCACGGGUGAGUAACGCGUAUCCAACCUGCCCAUCACUUGGGGAUAACCUUGCGAAAGUAAGACUAAUACCCAAUGACGUCCAUAGAAGACAUCUGAAAGGGAUUAAAGAUUUAUCGGUGAUGGAUGGGGAUGCGUCUGAUUAGCUUGUUGGCGGGGUAACGGCCAACCAAGGCGACGAUCAGUAGGGGUUCUGAGAGGAAGGUCCCCCACAUUGGAACUGAGACACGGUCCAAACUCCUACGGGAGGCAGCAGUGAGGAAUAUUGGUCAAUGGGCGAGAGCCUGAACCAGCCAAGUAGCGUGCAGGAUGACGGCCCUAUGGGUUGUAAACUGCUUUUAUAAGGGAAUAAAGUGAGCCUCGUGAGGCUUUUUGCAUGUACCUUAUGAAUAAGGACCGGCUAAUUCCGUGCCAGCAGCCGCGGUAA